RNAcentral lists this ribosomal RNA (395 nucleotides) under uncultured bacterium. RNAcentral describes it as "bacterial SSU rRNA". It matches the Rfam family "Bacterial small subunit ribosomal RNA", at positions 29 to 424 of the family's 1533-position model. The record is from RNAcentral.
AUUAAACGCUGGCGGCAUGCCUUACACAUGCAAGUCGAACGGCAGCACGGGGGCAACCCUGGUGGCGAGUGGCGGACGGGUGAGUAAAGCAUCGGAACGUAUCCUGGAGUGGGGGGAUAACGUAGCGAAAGUUACGCUAAUACCGCAUAUUCUGUGAGCAGGAAAGCAGGGGAUCGCAAGACCUUGCGCUCUGGGAGCGGCCGAUGUCGGAUUAGCUAGUUGGUGGGGUAAAGGCCUACCAAGGCGACGAUCCGUAGCGGGUCUGAGAGGAUGAUCCGCCACACUGGGACUGAGACACGGCCCAGACUCCUACGGGAGGCAGCAGUGGGGAAUUUUGGACAAUGGGCGGAAGCCUGAUCCAGCCAUGCCGCGUGAGUGAAGAAGGCCUUCGGGUU